UCCGGCUUAUCACCGGCAGUUCUCUCAGAGUUCCCAGCAUUACCUGAUGGCAACAGAGAGUGGGGGUUGCGCUCGUUGCGGGACUUAACCCAACAUCUCACGACACGAGCUGACGACAGCCAUGCAGCACCUGUGUUCUAGCCAGCCAAACUGAAGGAAAGCAUUUCUGCGAUCCAAACUAGACAUGUCAAGGCCUGGUAAGGUUCUUCGCGUUGCCUCGAAUUAAACCACAUGCUCCACCGCUUGUGCGGGUCCCCGUCAAUUCCUUUGAGUUUUAAUCUUGCGACCGUACUCCCCAGGCGGAAGACUUAAUGCGUUAGCUGCGCCACUGACCCCUAUGGGGCCAACAGCUAGUCUUCAUCGUUUACAGCGUGGACUAC
RNAcentral lists this unclassified non-coding RNA (380 nucleotides) under uncultured Alphaproteobacteria bacterium. RNAcentral's name for it is "contains 16S-23S intergenic spacer region". Lineage: Bacteria; Pseudomonadati; Pseudomonadota; Alphaproteobacteria. The record is from RNAcentral.